Brassica napus (rape) is the source of this 600-nucleotide long non-coding RNA. RefSeq lists it as uncharacterized. NCBI's taxonomy places the organism in Eukaryota, Viridiplantae, Streptophyta, Magnoliopsida, Brassicales, Brassicaceae. The record is from RefSeq and is a predicted model, not a curated record. The transcript is spliced from 2 exons.
CUCUUGUCUAAUCGAAAGGUAAGCGGCUUUUGUGUUCUUCGAUUAUGCAUGUCUUAAGAUUUAUGCAUGUUCUUGUUCUGAUCAGUAGUUUUUCUAUCUUAUUUGUUAGUUCUAGUUUAAUUUGUUGUACUUGUGCUGAUUGAAAGUAUGCCUAUUUUUCUUUCUUUCUUCGGUUCAAUUCGGUCUAUCGGUGGCGAUGGAGCUCUCCUCGACGGUGACGGAGCUCUAUCUCGGUGGCGACGAAGCUCUCUCUCGGUGGAGACGAAGCUCAAACGGUGGCUCUCCUCGAAUCGAAAGGUGGAAAUGGAGUCACGGCGUCUUGUACUUGUAGUCUUCUGUCACAGAGCAAACAGACGAGAACGAGUGGAGCAAGUCUUGUACUUGUAGUCUUGUGAGGAGUUUUGUAGUUUUGUGUCACACGUCUUGUGUCAGUCUUGUUGUUUUGUAUUGGUAUGUCACGAGGAGUUUUGUAGUUUUGUUGUUUUGUGUCAUAAGUCUUCUGUUUUCUUAGUUUUUUUGUCACAAGUCUUGACUUGUGUAUUUGUAUGUCACGAGUCUUGAAUCUAAAUUCAUAUUCUCUUUAUAAAAUAAGCUUGUGUA